GAAUUCUUUCAUUAUUUUAAUUACCAAUUACUUCCUUGUCUCAGUGUAUUUUUACCCACUAGAAUCACAAGUGACAUCAUUCCUUAUUUUUAUCCUGCUUUGCUUUGAUUUCUUACAUAGCCUUGAUGUAAAUCAUUUAAAAAUCCCAUUUAAACCACAGACCAGCAGAGCCUGGCAGCCUUUGGAUUUAGUGCUGUUGAACCAUACAGGAAA
RNAcentral lists this long non-coding RNA (213 nucleotides) under Homo sapiens (human). Its description in RNAcentral is "non-protein coding lnc-JAM2-10:1". The record is from RNAcentral. Lineage: Eukaryota; Metazoa; Chordata; Mammalia; Primates; Hominidae.